GGAUUGUGUCUCAGUGGUAGAGCGCUCACCUAGCAUGUAUGAGACACUGGGUUCGAUCCUCAGCACCA
RNAcentral lists this transfer RNA (68 nucleotides) under Marmota monax (woodchuck). RNAcentral's name for it is "tRNA.Ala". The record is from RNAcentral. Lineage: Eukaryota; Metazoa; Chordata; Mammalia; Rodentia; Sciuridae.